UACAUUGGGUGCAACCGUUGCUCGGAAUUAUUGGGCGUAAAGCGCACGUAGGCGGAUAUUUAAGUCAGGGGUGAAAUCCCAGAGCUCAACUCUGGAACUGCCUUUGAUACUGGGUAUCUCGAGUAUGGAAGAGGUGAGUGGAAUUCCGAGUGUAGAGGUGAAAUUCGUAGAUAUUCGGAGGAACACCAGUGGCGAAGGCGGCUCACUGGUCCAUUACUGACGCUGAGGUGCGAAAGCGUGGGGAGCAAACAGG
Molecule: ribosomal RNA, 253 nt
Filed under: uncultured bacterium
Lineage: Bacteria
Description: partial 16S ribosomal RNA
Rfam family: Bacterial small subunit ribosomal RNA
Source: RNAcentral